Molecule: ribosomal RNA, 3371 nt
Filed under: Durio zibethinus
Lineage: Eukaryota; Viridiplantae; Streptophyta; Magnoliopsida; Malvales; Malvaceae
Description: eukaryotic LSU rRNA
Rfam family: Eukaryotic large subunit ribosomal RNA
Source: RNAcentral
CGUGACCUCAGGUCAGGCAGGAUCACCCGCUGAGUUUAAGCAUAUCAAUAAGUGGAGGAAAAGAAACUUACCAGGAUUCCCCUAGUAACGGUGAACGAAUCGAGAAGAGCCCAGCUUAAGAAUCGAGUGCCCCCGAUGAUCGAAUUGUAGUCUGAAAAAGUAUCCUUAACGGCAGACCGGGCCCAAGUCCCCUGGAAAGGGGCAUUGGAGAGGUGAGAGCCCCGUUGUGCCCAGACCCUAUCACACCACGAGGCGUUGUUCGCGAGUCGAGUUGUUUGGGAAUGCAGCCCCAAUCGGGCGGUAAAUUCCAUCCAAGGCUGAAUAUGGGUGAGAGAUCGAUAGCAAACAAGUACCGUGAGGGAAAGAUAAAAAGGACUUUGAAAAGAGAGUCAAAGAGUGCUUGAAAUUAUCAGAAAGAAAGUAGAUGGGGGCCGACGGUGCUCCCCGAUCGGAUAUGGAAUGGCCAGAGCUGAUCCGCCAAUUGGUUCAGGGUGUGGAUCUACGUGGGUCACGACGGCGGCCUUAGCCCGAGCUUCGAUGUGCCCGCGAAGACAUCAUCACCAUUACGAUCGAGGAAUGCAGCAUGCGUCAUCUUGAUGUGCCUCAACACCCACGUGCUCCUAGUUUCGGCCUGUGGGCUCCUCAUCUGGCCCGUCUUGAAACACGGACCAAUGAGUCUGACAUGUGUGUGAGUCAACGGGCCAGAAAACCUAUAAGGCGUAAGGAAGCUGAUUGGCGGGAUCCUUCACGGGUGCACUACCGAUCGAUCUUGAUCUUCUAAGAAGUGUUCGAGUGCGAGCAUGCCCGUCGGGACUCGAAAGAUGGUGAACUAUGCCUGAGUAGGGCAAACCUAGAGUAAACUCUGGUGGAGGCCCACAGCGAUACUGAUAUGCAAAUCGUUCAUCUAACUUGGGUAUAGGGGUGAAAGACUAAUUGAACUGUCUAGUAGUUGGUUCCUUCUGAAGUUUCCCUUAGGAUAACUAGAGCCCUUGACGAGUUCUAUCGAGUAAAAUCAAUGAUUAGAGGCAUCGAGAGCGCAACGCCCUCGACCUAUUCUCAAACUUUAAAUAGGUAGGACAGCGUAGCUGCUUCGUUGAGCCACGCCACGAAAUUAAGAGCUCUAAGUGGGCCAUUUUUGGUAAACAGAAUUGGCGAUGUGGGAUGAACCAAAAGUCGAGGUUACGAUGCUCAACUGCGCGCUAACCCAGAACCCACAAAGGGUGUUGGUCGAUUAAGACAGCAGGAUGGUGGUCAUGGAAGUCGAUUAACAACUCACCUGCCGAAUCAACUAGCCUCGAAAAUGUAUGGUGCUUAAGCACGUGACCUAUACUCGAUCGUCGGGGCAAGGGCUAGGCCCCGAUGAGUAGGAGGGCAUGACGAUUAUCAUAAAACCUAGGGCGCGAGCCCUAACGGAGUGGCCGUCGGUGUAGAUCUUAGUGGUAGUAGCAAAUAUUCAAAUGAGAACUUUGAAGGCCAAAGAUGAGAAAGGUUUCAUGUGAACGGCACUUGCACAUGGGUUAGUCGAUCCUAAAAAAUAGGGGAAGCCCGUCUGACAGCGCACCCGUGCGAGCUUCGAAAGAGAAUCGAGUUAAAAUUCUUGAAUUGGGACGCAGUGGCUGACGAUAACAUUAGGGAGUCUGAAGAUGUCGACGGAGGCUUGGGAAGAGUUAUCUUUUCUGUUUAACGGCCCAUCCACCCUGGAAACAGCUCAGCUGAAGCUAGGGUCUGCGGUCGAAAGAGCACUGCAUGUUGCAUGGUGUCCGGUGCACUCCCGACAGCCCUUGAAAAUCUGGAAGAUCGAGUGCCGUCCGUGCCCUAUCGUACUCAUAACCGCAUCAGGUCUCCAAGGUGAACAGCCUCUGGUCGAUGGAAUAAUGUAGGCAAGGGAAGUCGGCAAAAUGGAUCCGUAACCUUUAGAAAAGGAUUGGUUAAGAGGGCUGGGCACAGGGGUCCUAGUCUCGAACCCGUCGAUUGUCGGUGCACUGUUCGAGCUACUACCACGAUGAAAAAGUGGUCACCAUGUGCCGGCUGGGGGACGGACUGGGAAUAGCUCCCUCGGAGGGCUUCCCCGAGUGAUAAAUAGUCAACUAUGAAUUGGUACAAACAAGGGGAAUCUGACUGUUUAAUUAAAACAAAGCAUUGUGAUGGUCCCUAUGGAUGCUUACGCAAUGUGAUUUCUGCCCAGGGCUCUGAAUGUCAAAGUGAAGAAAUUCAACCAAGCACGGGUAAACGACAGGAGUAACUAUGACUCUCUUAAGGUAGCAAAAUGCCUCGUCAUCUAAUUAGUGACGCGCAUGAAUGGAUUAACGAGAUUAAAACUGUCCCUAUCUACUAUCCAGUGAAACCACAGCCUAGGGAAUGGGCUUGGUGAAAUCAGUGGAGAAAGAAGACCCGUUGAGCUUGACUCUGGUCUAACUUUGUGAAAUGACUUGAGAGGUGUAGGGUAAGUGGGAGCCCUUGGACGAAAUUGAAAUACCACUACUUUUAACAUUAUUUUACUUAUUCCGUGAAUUAGAGGUAGGGUACGACCCUUCUUUUGGACCCAAGGUCAGCCUUGGUUGGUCGAUCCAGGGGGAAGACAUUGUCAGGUGGAGAGUUUGGCUGGGGUGGCACAUCUGUUAAAAGAUAACGCAGGUGUCCUAAGAUGAGCUCAAUGAGAACAAAAAUCUCGUGUGCAACAAAAGGGUAAAAGCUCAUUUGAUUCUUAUUUCCAGUACGAAUAUGACUCGUGAAAGCGUGGCUGAUCGAUCCUAUAGACCUUUGAGAUUUGAAGCUAGAGGUGUCAGAAAAGUUACCACAAGGAUAACUGGCUUGUGGCAGCCAAGCGUUCAUAGUGACGUUGCUUUUUGAUCCUUCGAUGUCGGCUCUUCCUAUCAUUGUGAAGCAGAAUUCACCAAGUGUUGGAUUGUUCACCCACCAAUAGGGAACAUGAGCUGGGUUUAGACCAUCGUGAGAUAGGUUAUUUUUACCCUAUCGAUGGCAGCGUCGCGAUAAUAAUUCAACCUAGUACGAGAGGAACCGUUGAUUCGCACAAUUGGUCAUCGUGCUUAGGUGAAAGCCAGUGGCAUAAAGCUAUCGUGUGUUGGAUUAUGAAUAAAAUGCUCUAAGUCAAAAUUCAGGCCAGAAGUGACGCGCGGGCCUGCCAUCCGAUUAUCGACCCGCAGUAGGGGCCCAUGGCCCCCAAGGGCACGUGUCGUAAGUGCAACCCCGUAGCGGACAAGCCACGUAGGCCUCUUUGGAGCUCAAUUCCCACUGAGCGGCAGGUAGAAUCCUUUACAGAUGACUUAAAUAUGCGACGGGGUAUUGUAAGUGGCAAAGUGGCCUUGCUGCCACGAUCCACUGAGAUUCAACACUUUGUCGCUUUGAUUCGU